UGGCUGUGAUGACAACUAGAUUAUUUCUUCAUACCUUAAUUUCAGUUAAGGACCAAAUCUGAUGACUUUAUUUGUGCGUGUCUGAGCCGG
Triticum aestivum (bread wheat) is the source of this 90-nucleotide non-coding RNA. Lineage: Eukaryota; Viridiplantae; Streptophyta; Magnoliopsida; Poales; Poaceae. The record is from Rfam.